ACGGGUGAGUAAUACAUCGGAACGUGCCCUGUAGUGGGGGAUAACUAGUCGAAAGAUUAGCUAAUACCGCAUACGACCUGAGGGUGAAAGUGGGGGACCGCAAGGCCUCAUGCUAUAGGAGCGGCCGAUGUCUGAUUAUCUAGUUGGUGGGGUAAAGGCCCACCAAGGCGACGAUCAGUAGCUGGUCUGAGAGGACGAUCAGCCACACUGGGACUGAGACACGGCCCAUACUCCUACGGGAGGCAGCAGUGGGGAAUUUUGGACAAUGGGGGCAACCCUGAUCCAGCAAUGCCGCGUGUGUGAAGAAGGCCUUCGGGUUGUAAAGCACUUUUGUCCGGAAAGAAAUCGCACUUACUAAUAUUAGGUGUGGAUGACGGUACCGGAAGAAUAAGGACCGGCUAACUACGUGCCAGCAGCCGCGGUAAUACGUAGGGUCCAAGCGUUAAUCGGAAUUACUGGGCGUAAAGCGUGCGCAGGCGGUUGUGCAAGACCGAUGUGAAAUCCCCGGGCUUAACCUGGGAAUUGCAUUGGUGACUGCACGGCUAGAGUGAGUCAGAGGGGGGUAGAAUUCCACGU
RNAcentral lists this ribosomal RNA (576 nucleotides) under uncultured bacterium. Its description in RNAcentral is "bacterial SSU rRNA". It matches the Rfam family "Bacterial small subunit ribosomal RNA", at positions 102 to 674 of the family's 1533-position model. The record is from RNAcentral.